Molecule: long non-coding RNA, 213 nt
Filed under: Mytilus galloprovincialis (Mediterranean mussel)
Lineage: Eukaryota; Metazoa; Mollusca; Bivalvia; Mytilida; Mytilidae
Source: RNAcentral
UGUGUAAGUGCAUAUACAAAUAUAUAGCUAUACAACUAAAAAUGACCGUAAUCAUUGGCCAAAUUCAGGUCAAGCAGUUGGAAUCUUAGUUUCUUUAUAAUUCUCACUGACGUUACUUUAAUUUCGUUACAUGUGUUUUGAAUGUUUAAAUAUGUGUAGGCUGAAACAGUGGUAUCAUCCAUUGCUGGUAAAUGGAAAUAUAAAAAUAAGGAG